CUUAUUGUUUCUUUCUUUCUUUCUUUGCUUUUUACUUUCCAUUCCUCUGCUCUGCUUCUAUUUUAAGGACUGAAAAUGAAGUAAGGAAUAAGAGAGGUUAGUUUUCAUUUAUGUGUAGUCUUACUUUCUAGUGGAAAAAAAAACACAAGGCCACGAGUAAAUGCUCUGAAGAAAAUAAAACACUGCAAGGGAUAUCUUGGUUUAAGGCUAGUGAGAAGAGGGUAGGAGGACAAGAGAGGAUGCUGGAAGUACAGUUGGAAGCCAUUGAAGAAUUCCAGGUGAUCGUGAUGGUUUGAAUUAUGGACUAAUUAAAAGAAGAACCAAUGAGACCAGACAUAAGGAGGGAAACUUAAGAAAAAAGAAAGAAGAAACAAGUCUUUUCCAAACUCUAUCAACCAGUGGUCAAAGAUAUGGUGAGUUAAUAUGUUUCUCCUGUUCCCCCCCACCCACCAUUUCUGUCAAGCAUAAAAAAUAGACCAAUUUGUCACUGCGUCUGCAUAAUGUCAGGAUAAGAGUGUACUGUUCCCUUCCCUUAGCAGAGGUCACUCGAAAGAGUGUCUCCAAGAUUGUCUGAAGGAAAACAAAUGAGCAAGCCCAGAAAUUGGAGGCGAGGUGCUCUGCUGUGGCGGGGGAAAUGCCGAGAUGAUGACUUUUGGAAAAUUGCAUCGGGUUUAUCCAACACAGGACUGUUUUAAUCACUGCACCGGGGGACCUGCUUCAAGGACGGAUGGAUAAUGCAUGUUUCAGAGAGGCUGAUAGGGAGAUAGUGCGGAUCCUCAAACGUCUUGAACAGGCCAUUAAGUGAGCAAACGUCCUUGCACAUCUGCUUGGGGGUAUGGGACUCAGAAUUUCAAAGGAAACUUCAAGGUUCCCCUAUGGGCUCAAAGGAGCACUUGGGGAGGCAGACUCCAGCAAGACUCUGGAGAGAGAAAGGAGGCAUGUUCUUCUGCAAAGUCAAGCCCAGUCAGGGCAUAGCACCCCCUCACUGCCCACCC
Molecule: long non-coding RNA, 995 nt
Organism: Neofelis nebulosa (Clouded leopard)
Lineage: Eukaryota; Metazoa; Chordata; Mammalia; Carnivora; Felidae
Exons: 3
Source: RefSeq, a predicted model, not a curated record